ACGAAGGGUGCAAGCGUUACUCGGAAUUACUGGGCGUAAAGGGUGCGUAGGUGGUUUUUUAAGUCUGCUGUGAAAUCCCCGGGCUCAACCUGGGAAUGGCAGUGGAUACUGGAAAGCUAGAGUGCGGUAGAGGGUAGUGGAAUUCCCGGUGUAGCAGUGAAAUGCGUAGAGAUCGGGAGGAACACCAGUGGCGAAGGCGGCUUACUGGACACAUAUUGACGCUGAGGUGCGAAAGCGUGGGGAGCAAACAGGA
Molecule: ribosomal RNA, 253 nt
Filed under: uncultured prokaryote
Description: partial 16S ribosomal RNA
Rfam family: Bacterial small subunit ribosomal RNA
Source: RNAcentral